RNAcentral lists this ribosomal RNA (501 nucleotides) under uncultured bacterium. RNAcentral's name for it is "bacterial SSU rRNA". It matches the Rfam family "Bacterial small subunit ribosomal RNA", at positions 28 to 517 of the family's 1533-position model. The record is from RNAcentral.
GAUGAACGCUAGCGGCAGGCUUAACACAUGCAAGUCGAGGGGCAGCAUGACACGGAGAUUCGUCGAAGUGUUGAUGGCGACCGGCGCAAGGGUGCGUAACGCGUGAGCAACUUGCCCGUUUCUGGGGCAUAACCGGUGGAAACGCCGACUAAUUCCCCAUAGUAUUGAGUUUAGGCAUCUUUACUCAAUUAAAGAAUUUCGGAAACGGAUAGGCUCGCGUGACAUUAGCUAGAUGGCGGGGUAACGGCCCACCAUGGCGACGAUGUCUAGGGGUUCUGAGAGGAAGGUCCCCCACACUGGAACUGAGACACGGUCCAGACUCCUACGGGAGGCAGCAGUGAGGAAUAUUGGUCAAUGGUCGAAAGACUGAACCAGCCAUGCCGCGUGAAGGUCACGGCCCUAUGGGUCUUAAACUUCUUUUGUUAGGGAGCAAUAAGGUCUACGUGUAGAUUGAUGAGAGUACCUAACGAUAAGCAUCGGCUAACUCCGUGCCAGCAGCCG